UAUGUGUGUCCAAAUUAUAUGU
RNAcentral lists this microRNA (22 nucleotides) under Sarcophilus harrisii (Tasmanian devil). Its description in RNAcentral is "Sha-Mir-7394-P1_5p (mature (guide))". The record is from RNAcentral. Lineage: Eukaryota; Metazoa; Chordata; Mammalia; Dasyuromorphia; Dasyuridae.